GACGAACGCUGGCGGCGUGCUUAACACAUGCAAGUCGAACGGAAAGGCCCUUCGGGGUACUCGAGUGGCGAACGGGUGCGUAACACGUGGGUGAUCUGCCCUGCACUUUGGGAUAAGCCUGGGAAACUGGGUCUAAUACCGAAUAGGACCACGCGCUUCAUGGUGUGUGGUGGAAAGCUUUUGCGGUGUGUGAUGGGCCCGCGGCCUAUCAGCUUGUUGGUGGGGUAAUGGCCUACCAAGGCGACGACGGGUAGCCGGCCUGAGAGGGUGACCGGCCACACUGGGACUGAGAUACGGCCCAGGCUCCUACGGGAGGCAGCAGUGGGGAAUAUGGCACAAUGGGCGCAAGCCUGAGGGAGCGACGCCGCGUGAGGGAUGACGGCCUUCGGGUUGGAAGCCACUUUCAUUAGGGACGAAGCGCAAGGGACGGUACCGAUAGAAGAAGCACCGGCCAACUACGG
RNAcentral lists this ribosomal RNA (461 nucleotides) under uncultured bacterium. RNAcentral describes it as "partial 16S ribosomal RNA". It matches the Rfam family "Bacterial small subunit ribosomal RNA", at positions 28 to 506 of the family's 1533-position model. The record is from RNAcentral.